AGUGAACGCUGGCGGUAUGCCUAACACAUGCAAGUCGAACGGCAGCACAGUAAGAGCUUGCUCUUACGGGUGGCGAGUGGCGUACGGGUGAGGAAUACAUCGGAAUCUACUUUUUCGUGGGGGAUAACGUAGGGAAACUUACGCUAAUACCGCAUACGACCUACGGGUGAAAGCAGGGGAUCUUCGGACCUUGCGCGAUUGAAUGAGCCGAUGCCGGAUUAGCUAGUUGGCGGGGUAAAGGCCCACCAAGGCGACGAUCCGUAGCUGGUCUGAGAGGAUGAUCAGCCACACUGGAACUGAGACACGGUCCAGACUCCUACGGGAGGCAGCAGUGGGGAAUAUUGGACAAUGGGCGCAAGCCUGAUCCAGCCAUACCGCGUGGGUGAAGAAGGCCUUCGGGUUGUAAAGCCCUUUUGUUGGGAAAGAAAAGCAGCAGGUUAAUACCCCGCUGUUCUGACGGUACCCAAAGAAUAAGCACCGGCUAACUUCGUG
Molecule: ribosomal RNA, 492 nt
Filed under: uncultured bacterium
Lineage: Bacteria
Description: partial 16S ribosomal RNA
Rfam family: Bacterial small subunit ribosomal RNA
Source: RNAcentral